RNAcentral lists this ribosomal RNA (301 nucleotides) under uncultured bacterium. RNAcentral describes it as "partial 16S ribosomal RNA". It matches the Rfam family "Bacterial small subunit ribosomal RNA", at positions 509 to 807 of the family's 1533-position model. The record is from RNAcentral.
CAGUAGCCGCGGUAAUACGUAGGGUGCAAGCGUUAUUCGGAAUUACUGGGUGUAAAGCGUGCGUAGGUGGUGGUUUAAGUCCGUUGUGAAAGCCCUGGGCUCAACCUGGGAAUUGCAGUGGAUACUGGGUCACUAGAAUGUGGUAGAGGAUAGUGGAAUUUCCGGUGUAGCAGUGAAAUGCGUAGAGAUCGGAAGGAACAUCUGUGGCGAAGGCGACUAUCUGGGACAACACUGACGCUGAGGCACGAAAGCGUGGGGAGCAAACAGGAUUAGAUACCCCGGUAGUCCCUGUCUCUUAUAC